This 409-nucleotide ribosomal RNA is filed under the name bacterium. RNAcentral describes it as "partial 16S ribosomal RNA". It matches the Rfam family "Bacterial small subunit ribosomal RNA", at positions 355 to 776 of the family's 1533-position model. The record is from RNAcentral.
CGGGGAAUAUUGCACAAUGGGCGAAAGCCUGAUGCAGCGACGCCGCGUGAGGGAUGACGGCCUUCGGGUUGUAAACCUCUUUCAGCAGGGACGAAGCGCAAGUGACGGUACCUGCAGAAGAAGCACCGGCUAACUACGUGCCAGCAGCCGCGGUAAUACGUAGGGUGCAAGCGUUGUCCGGAAUUACUGGGCGUAAAGAGUUCGUAGGCGGUUUGUCGCGUCGUUUGUGAAAACCAGCAGCUCAACUGCUGGCUUGCAGGCGAUACGGGCAGACUUGAGUACUGCAGGGGAGACUGGAAUUCCUGGUGUAGCGGUGAAAUGCGCAGAUAUCAGGAGGAACAACGGUGGCGGAGGCGGGUCUCUGGGCAGUAACUGACGCUGAGGAACGAAAGCGUGGGUAGCGAACAGG